CGGAUCGCAGGCUGCAACCCGCCUGCGUGAAGUCGGAAUCGCUAGUAAUCGCGGAUCAGCAUGCCGCGGUGAAUACGUUCCCGGGCCUUGUACACACCGCCCGUCACACCAUGAGAGUCGGGAACACCCGAAGUCCGUAGCCUAACAGCAAUGAGGGCGCGGCCGAAGGUGGGUUCGAUAAUUGGGGUGAAGUCGUAACAAGGUAAC
RNAcentral lists this ribosomal RNA (207 nucleotides) under uncultured bacterium. Its description in RNAcentral is "partial 16S ribosomal RNA". It matches the Rfam family "Bacterial small subunit ribosomal RNA", at positions 1294 to 1500 of the family's 1533-position model. The record is from RNAcentral.